RNAcentral lists this long non-coding RNA (22532 nucleotides) under Gossypium barbadense (sea-island cotton). RNAcentral describes it as "long non-coding RNA (GBAR_LNC012253)". Lineage: Eukaryota; Viridiplantae; Streptophyta; Magnoliopsida; Malvales; Malvaceae. The record is from RNAcentral.
UUCCUUUAAAGAUAGGGUUUCCACCAUUGUUGUAAGGCACACCAAGGAAGAAAGAGAUAAAAUAUGGCACCCAUUUCAUUACCUAACAAGCCCCAUGCAGUAUGCAUCCCCUUCCCGGCACAAGGUCACGUAAACCCGAUGCUCAAAGUGGCCAAACUCCUCCAUUUCAAAGGCUUCCGCAUCACUUUCGUCAACACCGAGUACAACCACAAACGCUUGCUCAAAUCCAGGGGCCCCCACGCCCUCGACGGCUUGCCUGACUUCCGGUUCGAGACAAUCCCCGACGGCCUUCCUCCGCCCGACAUCGACGCCACGCAAGACAUCCCCGCGCUUUGUGACUCCACUAGCAAGCAUUGUUUGGCUCCCUUUCGCCGACUCCUUGUUGAGCUAAAUGUUAAUUCCGGUGUCCCUCCGGUCACUUGUAUCGUCGCUGAUGGGAGCAUGUCGUUCACUCUCGAGGCGGCUAAAGAGUUAGGGAUUCCCAGUGUGUUGCUUUGGACACCCAGUGCUUGUGGUUUCUUGGCUUAUUGCCAUUUCCGACGGCUUAUUGAUGAGGGUUUUACACCAUUGAAAGGUACAAAACUCUGGUUUUUCUUUCAAACUUUUUGGUUAAAUUUGGCUAUUGUCCCUCUACUAUGCUAUAAAUUUAAGAUUUAAUCCUUAUAGUUUAAUUUCAGAUAUUUGAUUUAUUGUUAUUAAUUAGUACAUCUAAUUAAUAAAAUUAGAUUUUUCUUGAGUAAAAUGUUUUAAAAGAUGUAAGCAUGUUUUAGGCUGAAAUUUGAAUUUUUUUUUCCAUUAUUUCUAAUAUUUUUAAUUAAAAAAACCUUUAAUCCUUUUAUUUUUAUGCAUAUUUAUUAUCAGUUGACUGAUUCACUCAAUUUUCAUAUGGAAUUAAUUUUGUGGCAGAAUAACAGUGACAAAAAUUCACUUAAUCACUUUUAACAACUAAAAUUGUGACAAAUAAAAAUAAAAAAAUUAAUUAUUUUUCUUCUUAAAAUGCAUCCUUAAGCAUUCAUUUUUAAAAGUAUUCCACAUCAGUAUUUAAGUGAAAUGAUGAUGUUAAUAAUUUCAACUAAUUAAUAAUAUUAUAAAAAAUAAAAAACAAAAUUAUAUCAAAUUACAGGAGUAAAUAUCGAAUAUUAGCAUAGUAAAAGGACUGAAUUCUGAAUUUGACCCCUAACAAUUUCUUCAUCAUUGGGCAGAUGAAUCCUAUUUGACAAACGGGUAUUUGGAUACCGUCAUUGACUGGAUCCCGGGCAUGAAAAACAUCCGUAUAAGGGACCUUCCAAGCUUUGUUCGAACAACGAAUCCAGACGAUAUAAUGUUGAAUUUCUUUGCGACGGAGUGCGACAGAGCUUCCAAAGCUUCCGCCAUUAUCGUAAACACCUUCGAUGAAUUGGAACAUGAUGUCGUCAAAGCUCUCUCCUCUAUCUUCUCUAAAUUUUACACUAUUGGACCCCUUCACUUGCUCCUCAACCACAUCCCACCGUCGUCGCCUUUAAGCUCCAUGGAGUCCAACCUGUGGAAAGAAGAGCAUCGAUGUUUGCAAUGGCUGGAUUUAAAAGAACCCAAAUCGGUCGUUUACGUUAAUUUCGGGAGCAUAACGGUGAUGACGGUGAAUCAAAUGGUUGAAUUCGCUUGGGGUUUGGCUAAUAGUAAAAAACCUUUUUUGUGGAUCAUUAGACCCUAUUUGGUACGGGGGGAUUCCGCCAUUUUUCCGCCGGAGUUCAUCGAGGAAACUAAAGACCGGUGUUUCAUGGCGAGCUGGUGCCCGCAAAAGGAAGUACUGAACCAUAACGCGGUGGCCGGGUUCUUGACGCACAGCGGGUGGAAUUCGACGGUGGAAAGCAUUUCGAGUGGGGUGGCGAUGGUUUCUUGGCCGUUCUUCGCGGAGCAAAAAACGAAUUGUUGGUUCGCUUGUAAUGAAUGGGGUAUCGGCAUGGAAAUCGACAACGAUGUGAAGAGGGAGAAAGUGGAAAAGCUGGUGAGGGAGCUGAUGGAAGGAAGGAAAGGGGAGGAGAUGAGGGAAAACGCCAUGGAAUGGAAGAGAAAAGCUGAAAAAGCUGCGUGUUUGGAUGGACCGUCCUUGUUGAAUCUGGACAGGUUGAUUAAUGAAGUCUUGCUCGAAGGACAUGAAUGAUCAACUUUAUUUUAAAAAAAUAAAACACCUUCACGUUUAUAGGUUUGAGUUCUUAAUUAUUAUUUUUUUAUCGACACACUCAACAUUACGAUUAUUUAAAAAUUAGUUCAGUUUUAACGGAAAAUGUGAGUUAACUGUUAAUUAAACCGUAAGUCAACUAAAUAAUCUAUUUGGCGUGCCACAUAAGUCCGAGGUAACGUCAUUUAUAAACUAAAUUGUUUAACAAUUUUUUUUUCAUUUUGUUUCAAUCUUCUCUUUCUCUCUUCCCCUCUAACUAUUGUCAUCGUUGUGUCCAACACCCACCAUCAUCGCCUUCCCUCUUACUUCUCAUUAUUUCAACCCCUACCAUCUCUCCCUUUCCUCUUACUCCUCACGUUUGUAAAAAGAGGACUCAACGUUGUAAAAAGUAAAAAGAGGACACAUUAUUGUAGCCCAUUUUAGGGUUUUAUUUUUUUAAUUAAUAAAAAAAACUAGAAAAAUCAAACGUUACUUUGUUUGGUUUAGGUUUGCUUGCUUUUGGUAUAUUUGAUACCCUUCUUUGCUUUUCAAUUCAUCUACCCAUUUAUUGAUUCACCUUCUCUAAUUUUACUUACCUUUCUAGGGUUAUUAGUUGUUGUUUUUCUCAAAUGGAUUGGCCCUCUUUUCAUGGAUAAGGUCAGUACCUUUUUUUAUCCCAGUUUCAUGCCUUUGUUACAUUGCUCUAUUUAUGAUCUAUGUGGAUUGUUAAUGGUUAGGUUUAUUCUGGGUUUUUUUCUCUUUUCUUCAAAUUUUUUCAAUAGGAUGAAAGAUAGUUGCACGCGCAAAAAGAUUGUUCCGAUGGCAGUUAAUAAGGCAAGGGAAGUGAAAGGGUUUCCCGAUAGGUAGAAGAUGAUAAUUUCGAAACUGGAGCGAAUCCUUUCGUGCUUAUCGGAAUUGUCGACCCAUACUUGCUUUUCAAAAAAAAUGCUCUUUGUAAGGAACAAUUGUAGAUUGUUUCGAAGACAUUGAAGGAAGUGAUUGAAUUAGUGAAUUUAUGCUUGAAAGAGAAGUGUUAAACAAAAUGAAAAAAAAAGUGUUAAACAAUUUUGUUUAUAGAUGAUGUCACCUCGUGCUUAUGUGGCAUGCCACAUAAGCUACUUAAUUGACCUGCGAUUUGAUUGGCGAUCAACUCAUGUUUCUCGUAACGUUGAAGGUGUCAAUUCAAAUAAAAAAAGAUUAAGGGCUCAAACCCAAGAACCCAUAAAUGUUGAGGGUAUUUUCGAAAACUAUGCCAAAAAAACAGCAAUGGGUAUGAUAUUUCAAAUAUUUUUAUAUGUUUAUAUGUGAGAUAUUUCAAAUACACAUACAAAAAUAAAUAAAACUAAUUAAUAUUUACUACUCAUGAUAUGAAUUGAAAAAUAAAUAUUACACACAUAAAAAUUAUGUUUCCUAAAAAUAAUUAUAUUUGUAAUAAAUAUUUAAUUUUAUAAAUAAAAAAUUAUUAAUUAAAUAGAUGAAUUAAAAAUAAUAAAAAAACUUGAAAACAAUAUAUCUAUUAAUUAAAAACAUUAAUUAAAAAAACUUGAUACAACAUAAAAUUUAAAAAUAUAUAUUAAUAUGCUUAUAAAAAUAAUCGAAUCUGAGACUUAAGGAUGUAAUUGUAAUUAUCUAACAGAAUAGCUAAUAUAUAUGUUAAAAAUAUUAAUUAAAAAUAGAAAAGCUUGAAACAACAUGAAAUAAAAAAUAUAAAAACGAGUAGGAGAGGAAUUGAAUCGAGACUCAAUGAUAAAAUCACUAACAUUUAACCAUCUGACUGAGUCAGUCAGAAAGUACCUCCUUUAGAAAUUUCUAGCACAAACAUUUCUAGCUUUUUAGAAAUUUACAUAACAACUCCUUUAAAAUGAACUUUAUUACAUUAAACCCCAUAAAAAUUUAAAUUUUGCCCCCAAACCUCCCAAAAAAACCACCAACCUCUUUUAAAGUUUGCCCCAUAAGUUGUAUUUUUGGAUCCACAACUGACUAGACAUGGUUUUAAUUAAAAACACGUCUAAUUGGGCAUGUUUUCACCUUCUCUCUAAAAUCGAUGUAUUGCGUUAAAUAUGCCAAAAUCGACCUAAACUACCAAAAAAAAAGAAAUUCGAACUUUUUUGACUAAUUUAACAGUAGUUUAAACUUUAAUGUUUUCGUUAAUUGUUUUAUUUAUUUUAAUUUUCAUAUUAUUUUUUUCUUUCACCAAUUACAUAAAUGGUUAUAGUUUCAUUUGGUUUAUAUAUAUAUAUAUAUAUAUAUAUAUUUCGGUGGCAGAUGGAUUAAACAAACUAAUCCUACUUCAAACUAUUGAAUUUUUAUGUCCUAUGUGAUAUUUUUUAUUUUAAUUUUCAUAACAUUUUUUUCUUUCACCAAUUAUAUAAAUGGUUAUAGUUUCAUCUGGUUAUCCUAGUUCAAAUUAUAUUUUUUUCAUAAUCUACCUGUGAUUCCUUCUUUGCAAGAAUUGUUGCAUGUGUACAACCAGUGACACAGUAUCAUUGUGCAUGUUAUUGCUACUUGAGACCUGUAAGUAAAUUUUUCAAUCACCACUUAAAAAAAUGUUACACAUACUAAAACACAAAACGAAAAUUAAUGCUUUAAAAGCAAUAUUAUGCGAAACAACUUGAGAAUUGCAAAACUAAGGACCUAAUUGGUGAUAUAUUGGAAAGCAAUUAGCAUCUCAUCAAGUUAGUAUAGAACUUCAAAAUAGGCUAGCCCCUCCACUUACACUUUAAGCUUCAUUCCAAGCUCAUGAAGAAAAUAACAAUAUGACUUUGCAACUACUCCUUUCUUCUAAGGUCGAUUCCAUCCUUCCUAGAUGGAGAAUGGUUCUCAAUUACUUCUCGGCUGAAGUCCCAUUUGCGCAUAGAUGAAUACAGCUACUCUGGUUCUUAAAAUUUAGGGUAAAUUACACCAACAGUCACCUAACUUUGGGGUAGCUGACAAAACAGUCACCUAGGUUUCAUUUCAGUCACUCAACUUUCAAAAAGUUACAAAACAGUCCCUUUAAACGUUUUCCAUCACAGACAUCACGGAAAAACGACAUGGCAGGUGACGGGGUCUAACAUUUUCUUCUUCCCUAAACCCGUUUCUCCCUCCCUCAUUCUAUUUCUUCUUCCUUUAAAGAAAUCCCUGUAAUUUUCUUCUACCCUAAACCCCACAAAUUUCUUCUUACUUUGAAGACAAAACAAAUGCAAUCCCUGUAAUUUACCUUUCCCUUCUUUUAUUUUUGCUUUUCAAAUUAAAGUUCUGAGUUUCAUUUCUCUCACAAUCCCUCCCAAACUCUCUCCAAUUGCAGUAUACAAUACUUGUUGUAUACUUGUAAGUUGUAACGAGAAAAUAGGCAAUUCAAGCUUUUGCAAAGAUAAAAUUUAAUAUGGAAAUUAAGACUAAAAAUCUCAAUGAAUGGUGCAUGCAUUCAAACUUAUAGCAGAGGAAAACACAGUGAAAGAAAGGACAAAUUUCAAGCUUUUAAUAGGAAAAUUUUUUAAAUGGCUAGUAAAUGACCAUCAAGUUCUAAUCCUGGGAUGCUAAUCAAGCAGCCGACAACUUGGCCAAAUCUUGAAUAGGAAGAUUGUCUCACUCGCUUCUGCCAAAUUCAACUUAAUGCUUUAGGUUAUGCUUUCGUUCUUCGUUUUUACUUAAGCUUUCCAACAGAGAAAAAAAAAUAGAAGAAGAAGAGGAGGACGAAAAGAAGAAGAAGAAGGUUUAAUGGUUAAUAUGUUGUGCACCUAGAACAAAAAUUUCCCUCUUUUCAAGCUCAAGUUCUUUGUUUCUCCUUAUUUUUUUAAUAACUUUCAAUUCAAUAUUUUUAAUAUCUUCAAGACUGUUCUUAACCAAAGCAUCUCCAAUAGAGGUUUCAAUGGCUAUAAAUCCGGAUAAAUGCUCUUCAAGCAAAAUUAUCUGCCCCUUUUAUCUGGCUACCAUUGCUAUUUUUCCAUUACAAUUCCUCUAUCAACUGCUUUUCCAUGUCUAGCUACUUUAUUUCCAUGUUACCCUGCCUUAUAAUUUCUUGAAGAUCUUUUAUCUCAGCCUUAAGUGCAGAAAUUAUGAAAUUGAGCUUGCCAAUUUUUGCAGUUUUGUCAGUUAAAUCCUUCUGCAAAUAAGCAAUGCAUGACAACUUCUCUUUUAGACUAUGCAACUCAAGUAGUUUCCUUUCAAAGGUUAAUCUCCUGCUCUCCAACUCCUUAAUGGGACUCUGUGAAUGUUCUAUUUCUGUAUUUGGGUACAAAUUCUUUAUGUUAACCACCUCAGUCCCCUCCUCAUUUUGCAUGUCCUCUUCCUGCAAGAACUUUAUUUUUUCAUUAGACUUAUGUAUAAGAGUGAAAAAUAUUGAAAGGGAUAAGAUGAAGUACUGAAAAUUAAAGAAAUGGAGGAGGGAAACGAUGGAGGAAGAAAAGUGGUGAUUAAUGUUGCCGGUGAAAGGCCAAAAGGGUCUUCUCUAAAAGAAGCAGAGGCAUUGAACCCUAAGCAAAAUUCUCAAGGUGCACCCAACAAAGCUUCGACUGAAUCUGGUGCUGUUCUGCAAGUAAGCCACCAAAAGCCCCAGUUGCAUAACCAUGAAGGUUUUCAGAAGGUACUAUCCUUUGGUGUUAAUAAUCAUUUCAACCAACUCAGCAGCAGCAACAGAAGAAGAAGAAGAAGAAGAAGAAGAAUGAAGCCACUUCACCAACGUGGCAAGUUAACUUGCCACAUCAGCUGGUUAACUUACCACGUCAGCAAUCCCGUUAACACCUUAAUGGUAACUGUUAAUCAAUGACUAUUUUGUCACUUUUUUAUAACGUUAGUGACUGUUUUGUAACUUUUCAAAAGUUAAAUGAUUGAAAUGAUCCCGAGGUGACUGUUUUGUCAGCUACCCCAAAGUUGAGUGACUGCUGGUGUAAUUUACCCUAAAAUUUAAUAACAGGUUUCAAAAACCCAAAAAAGCACUACAAGAAAACUGACUUUUAGCGGCGUUUUUUUUAACCUUUAGCAGCGCUUUUAAGUGCCGCAAAAACUAUUAGCGGCGUUUUUCCAAGCGCCGCAAAAAACACCGCUAAAGGUAACGCCGCAAAAUUUAGCAACGUUUAUCUGAACCACAAAAGAUCAAGACUUUUAACAACGUUUGUGGGAAAAGCGCUGCUAAAAGUCAUGGCUUUUAGUGGCCUUUUUUUUACAAACGCCGUUAAUUUUGGCAGAUUUGAAAUGUACAUUUUUCACCAAUAUCCAACCCUUCCUGCAUUAAAUCCAACCAAAAACAGCAAAUAUAGCAUGAAAUCCAACCAAAAAUAGCAAAUGUAGUAUAAAAAUACAAUAAAAAACAUUAAAUCUAAAUGAUACUUCAAAUUCAACGAAAGAUCUAUGAUGUAAAUUAAUAAAUUAGGUAUAACUCAAAACGUUCUUACAAUAAUGUUAAAUGUGACAAUGUUAAAAACGUUCUUACAAAGAGAAAACUAAUGUCUAAUAUGGCGACUUUUGCGACUGCUGAAACAUCUACAUCAUUUGCUGAAGCUGUAGCUGGAGCUCAUCGUACUUUCUGCUCUGCUCUACUGCCAUCGCUGCUGCCGCUGCCUCCCUCACUGCUGUCGCUGCCUCUGCCUCCCUCUCUGCUGCCUCUGUUCUAAGUUGUUGCUGAAGUUCUUCAUAUUUUCUUUGAACCUCGGCAAUUUGCUCAACUGUACUCGCUUGCAUCUGAGCUAUCUGGUCUCUUAACCUCUGAACUUCAGCUUGAGCUUGACUCCCAGAAGGCAUGUAUUGCUGGGAGCCGGAUCCAAAAUAUUAGGUCGGGGUAACACCAGAUCCUUGAAAUUAAACCCGACCGUACCUUUCAGGACCCAAAACUUCAGUGAUAAUUCUGUUAUCAAUGUUCUCAAGAUUAACAGAAUUAUCAGUCGAAGCAAUCGCUUCGUACUCCGCCUUCUUCUCCUUUAGUUUCUCCUAAUAAAUCAAUUAAAGAGUUAGAAACGAAAUAUAUAAUAAAAAGGAGAGCAACAUAACUUAACAUUAUUUAAAACUACUAAAGACAAAUUAAACCAUUAUAAUUAAACAUUAUAAAUAUUAAUAAUAAAUCAAAUUUUAUUAAGUAAAUAUACCAUAAUUUCUCCAGCUUCGGAUGUCAUAGGAGAUCCAUCUUUCUUUCUAUGCAUAAUCUCAAAAAGCUGAAGGCCACCAACUUUUUGACCUGACGAGACUUCCUACAAUAUAGUAGUAAAAAUAUUAUUUAAUAGUAGAAAGUUAUUAAUAUUUGACAGAAUUAAUAAAUUUAUAAUACCUCAGCCUCAGCUACAGAAGCAAAACUUCUCGACCCUGCCAUGUGCGUGAAUUUUUGUUUUUGGCUGCUAUUUGUUCCAACUCGCUCACGGUCCUACAUAAUGAAAUUAUUAUUACGUAUAUAGUAAACACUAUAUAUAAGAGUUUAGAAAUACGUAAUACCUCUCCUUUCUUGGAAUUCCAGAAUCUAACCGCAUCUUCCCAUUAGUACCUCAGCAUUCUCGGCGAGACAUUUCUCAAUUUUUCCUUGAGGCUUAUGUCUUUCUUAAAAUAUAGUUUUUUCAAAAUUCUUUUAUGGUUUCUCCAUUUUUUACCCAAUGCCUUCUUGAUAUAGUCAUCGGAGACCUCUAAAGCAAAUCUCUCCUAAAAAAACACAAGUUUAGAAUGUAAAUAUAAAUAAAAGUUAAACCAAAGUAUUAUAAAUUACUUUUAACGUUUUGUUACCUUAAUAUUAUCGAGAGCCUGAUUUUUGUUGCUAUCAGACAUGUGAUGCCAUGAUUCGUAGUUGAUGGGCAACAUAUUAGCAUUCUGUGCUAUAAUGUUCAAAUAGCCUGCUAAAAGUCGAGCUUUAGAUCCAACAGGCUGACCAUGACUGUUUCUACUUACUUUGACACGCUUGACAGGAUUUAAUUCGUAUAAAUAUUUAAGUAGCGUACGUCCUCGACCUCUGCGCGUCCCACCACUUUCAGCUGAAAAACGAUAUAUUAUUAUAUUAAAAUUGAAAAAUAAAUCAAUAAUAAAAGUCAACACACAUGUAAAAUAAACUUAACAUUACUUUGAAUUUUUGCAGGCUCAUCAAGUGUCUCUGGCACAUUCGAAGAUCCAACAACUGUCUGCUGUUCACUAUUUUCUUCUUCCGAAUUUGGAGUAUUCUGGACAAUACCUAAAUCUCGUAAUCUUCUUCUACGCAUUUUUCCUACAAUACACAUAAAAUGAUUUAAAUUUUAGUAACAAAUUACGACAAUAAUAGUACAUGUAAAAUAGUUAAAUUAUAUAACAUCACCAAGAUUAAAAUUAUAAUAUUACAUAUAAUUAAAAAAAUUAUAAAAUCUUACUACAUCAUUAUUCGUAAAUAUCUUCAUCCACAUCAUGUCGAACCCAGAUUUUGUGUACUAGUACUAGGGAUAUUUUCAUCUAAGUUUUGUUCUGGAAAAGGUAAUGUUUCUGAUUUUUCGACGAUGUCAUCUCUACUUCCAUUACCCAUGUCAAACAAGUCUCUAGAGACAUUUCGGAGUACAACAUACCAACCCUCAUCAGUUGGAUCUUUCGAAUAAAAAACUUGUUUCACUUGAGAUGAAAAUACAUAUGGCUCACCCAUCAAUUGUUGUCUAGUGUGAAUCAAGCGAGAGAAAUUAACCAUUGUAAAACCAAAUUGAUCUUUUUUAAUUCCGCAAGCAGUAUUAACAUCAGCCCAAUCACACUGAAAUAAGACAACUUUCCAUCUGCCAUAAUAAUCCAACUCAAUAAUGUCGGUAAGAAGUCCGUAAUACUCCACAUUACCCUCAAUCGGAUUACUAUCCCUAGCACUAGCAUAACUUGUAAUUAAAGAAUUAACAACAAUUCCACAAUUUUGAGUUCUCCUCAUUCUCUCGCGAUAUUUUGUAUGAAAUCUGUAUCCAUUGAUGAGGAAGGCACUAUAUCUUUUUAUUACUCUGUUCGGACCUUGGGAAAGCCAUUUAACUUCGUCAUUAACGUCCUUCCCACUCCAAACCUAUUGAAUCGAAAGUAAAUUGAGUAAUUAUAAAUGUAUUAUGUAAAAACGUUCUUAUUUGAUUAACUAAAUUUCGCGAUUAUAUGUAACUUAUUAACUUCAGUUACAUACCGUUUGACUUAACCAUCCAUGAAAAGAUUUUGUGAAUAACUUAUUAAUCUCUCGAUGUUGUAAUCUUCAAGAACGUGCACGGGAUCUCAAAAUUUGUUUGUACUCACUAUGUUAAAAACAAGUUUAACUGGUUAGAAGAUAAACAAAUCAAAACGAUGAAUAUGUGAGGAAAUUUUAGAACUUACUUGCGUAAUGGUUCAAUUGAAUCGUGAUGAAAAAGUACAUAUCGGUAUGCUUGUAUCCACGAUAUAUCAUCUAAUUCUGCAGUUUCAACUUUGCCGAUUGGUUCUCCAUAACUUUGGAAUAAAUAAGUUUCGGCCAAGUUAUGAUCAUUGAUCCCAGCAUUUCUACUUGGUCUAUUCAAUCGUGUUUCAACAUCUUCUAAAUAUCUAAAACAAAAGGUCAUGCAUUCCUCUGCCAAGUAGCCUUCAGCAAUUGAUCCUUUUGGAUAACGCUUAUUGCGACAAUAAGACUUCAAUUUGCUUAGAAACCUAAACACGAUAUACAAUAUUUAUCAAAAACUGUAACUAAAUGAAAAGAGGUGAAUGAAUGAAUAAUUGACAAAUAAAUUAGCACCUUUCUAUAGGAUACAUCCAUCGAUAAAAAAUAGGUCCACCAAGUAUUGCUUCGUGAGGGAGAUGGAUUACCAAAUGCACCAUAAUAGUGAAGAAGGAAGGUGGAAAAAUCUUCUCCAAGUUGCAUAAAGUCAAAGCAGCUCGAUCAUGUACUUUCUCAAGUUCUUCAACAUCCAAAACUUUACCACAAAUAGUUUUCAUUAUAUUGGAUAGUUCAAUUAUAUAGGACGUCACAUUUUUUUACAUACAGCACCGUAAAGCAAAUGGGAGUAAAUCUUGCAUCAAGAUGUGGUAAUCAUGUGAUUUUAAUGAAUAUAAUCUUCGAACUUUAAGACUCACACAUCGAGAUAUAUUUGACGCAUACGCAUCUAGGACCUUUCUAUCCUUCAACACCAUGCAGAACACUUCUUUCUCUUUCUUUGACAUUGAAAAAAUAGAAUGUGGCAAUCGAUAUUUCCCAUUCGGAAGUACUUGAGGAUGAAGAUCACGCCGAAUUCUCAUGUCAACUAAAUCAAGUCGACUCUAAAGAUUGUCUUUUGAUUUUCCAUCGACAUUCAAAAUUGUCCCAAUUAUGUUCUCGCAGACAUUCUUCUCAAUAUGCAUGACAUCAAGAUUGUGGCGUAAAAUGUUGUGUUCCCAAUAAGGCAACUCAAAAAAAUACUCAUUUUUUUCCACAAGUCCGCCUCAUUAGGAUCAUCUUCUUCGUCAUAUUCAUCAUCAAAUUCAUCUCUCGAUCUUCUCUUUGUUUGCGUGUUAAGUGGUUGAUUCAUCUUCCCAUAACUAAAAUUGAUAUCUUUUAACAUAAACAAGAUUUCGGAUCCAACGGUUUACUCAGGAGCUCCUCUGUACUCUUUAGUACAGUCAAAUAGAGUUCUCUGAAAUCUAAAUUUAUUAUUUCCAUCUAACCACCGACGAUGGCCCAUGUAAGAGAACUUCUUCCCAUUAUACAACCACUUCGAACAAGUUUGUGUAGCACAACAAGGACAGGCAUAACGUCCUUUAGUACUCCAACCCGAUAAAUUAGCAUAAGCUGGGAAAUCAUUAAUUGUCCACAACAAAGCUACACGUAAAUUAAACUUCUCCUUUCUCAAUACAUCAUAUGUCUCAACACCCGACCAUAACUAUUUUAACUCUUCAAUAAGUGGCUGCAAAUAGAUGUCUAUAUCAUUUCCGGGACCUUUCUCUCGAGAGAUAAUCAUUGAUAAAAUAAAUGAUGAUUGCUUCAUGCAAAUCCAUGGAGGCAAAUUGUAAGGAACAAGCACUACAGGCCAAGUACUGUACGAAAUACUCAUGGUUUUAAAAGGAUUAAAGUUGUCAGCUGCUAGCCUAAGCCUCACAUUUCGAGGAUCGCUUGCAAAACUCAGAAAUUUACUGUCAAAUGAUUUCCAAGCUAAAGAAUCAGCAGGAUGCCUUAAUAAUCCAUCAUCGGUUCGUUGAUCAUUAUGCCACCUCAUAGAAUCGGCCGUCUUUGACGACAUGAAAAGCCUUUGAAGUCUUGGUAUUAGGGGAAAAUAUCGCAAAACCUUGACUAGCUUCUUUCUUAACUAUGCCCCACCUUCAUCCGCAUUCACAUUUUCUAUAUUCCCAUUCAUCCAACUAGACUUACCACAAACAUGACAAGACUGUUGGUUCUUCUGAUCACCCCAGUACAACAUGCAGUCAUUUGGACAACUAUGAAUUUUAUCGUACCGAAGGCCCAAAUCUUUUAUUAGUCUCUUCAUAUCUUGACAAGACUGGAGGAUUUUUGCAAACAGAAACAUCUCUCUCGGAAACUCUAGCAGCAUUGUAAAAAAGUUUCCGGUCCAUCCUUCCAAACAUUUUAAGUGAAAUAGAAGAAUGCAGAAGGACAAUUUUGAAUAUUUUGAUCCCUCGUAAAGUUCUUUGUUCAUUUCAUUAAGUAAAUUGUAGAACUUCGCCGCUUCUUCAUUUGGCUCCUCAUUAGGUGCACUUGUUCCCGUUUCGCAGAAAACAUUUCCACCAAUAUCACAAUCAUCGGAUGUAAUAAAGUCAGGUGGAAACGAUUGUUCGCCAUGAAUGUACAUAUUAAAUGCAUCCCGCAACAUACCUUCCAUGUCGUCUUGUCUAACAUACUAGUGGUAAUCAGUAUCAGGAUAAGUCAGAUUAAUCGUUGAAGAAGUUCCACUAGAUGUACACUCUCCAUGGAAAAUCUAUUUUUUAUACCCCGAAUAAAGCCAUCCACAAUUAGAUGUUCGUAGACAACUUCACGAAAAUGCCAAUUGAUGUUGCCACACUUCUUACACAGGUAAAGAAUCAUAUUCUCUUGGCUUGCAUUUUGAAAUGCAAAAUUUAGAAAAGUUUGUACUCCAUUUCAAUAGGCGUUGCUGACUCUUGACAAUUUCAUCCAACUCCUAUCCAUUUUGUAGUUCUUAAAGUCUAAACUUGACAAUAAAUUACACGAGUAAGUUGUUAAUUUAUAAGUAUAAUUAAAUUAUGUAAGUUAUGAUAUGAUAUCUACUUAUGUAUUAUGUAAGUUAUAUAAGUUAUGUAAGUUAUGUAAGUUAUGUAAGUUUCGUGAGUUGUGUAAGUUCAAGUAUAUAUUUUACGUACUAGUGAUUUAUUCAAGUAUAUAUAUUUUUAAAAUCUUAUAAAUUUUGCACAUUAAUAAUUUAUACAAUAUAAAUUCUUAUAUAUUUAAAUAAAUUAAUCCAAAUUAUAUUAAUUAAAUAAUAUUUAAAUAAAUUAAUCCAAAUUAUAUUAAUUAAAAUAACAUGUCUUUUCCUUUAAUAUAGACAUGUCUUUUGCUUUUAUUAAUCCAAAUUUAUGUUUUACAAGUCAUCUUUUCUUAAGUACAUGUUAAAGCAUAGUGUGGACAUCCGUAUUUAGCUUGAAAGUUAUGAUUUAUUUUGAAUAAAAAGUUUAACUUAAAUGAUAAAACGAACGAUAAUAUUUGUGAUAAAACGUAUGAGAAUAUUUAAUAUAUUAAAAAUCGUGAUAGAAAUAUAGAAAUAUUAAAUCACAAAUUACAAAAAUAGGGUAGAAAAAAUUCACGUGGCAAGCAUACAUGUAGAGAGGUAUAAUAUUAUUAAAAGGUUUCAAAUUGAGCAGAAAUGAUCCCUUUUACAGUAUUAAUGCAAGUAAGAGCAUACGCAUUGGAACCAAUAGCAAAGAUCCCCAAGCGAAGUGAGGCAAAUAAAGUGGAAGUUGGUUUACAUGUGCAAACAUGUGUGUGAUAUCUAGAAACAGUCAAUUUUAAUCUCAAUGCCGAGAAAGGUAUAUACCUAAUGGAAUACAUUGCAGAUUUCAAUAUUGGAGAGACAUCAAAUAAAGAUUUAGCCUAUACUAAACAUACAUACCUCUUACAAAUUGUAAAUUGGAUGGUAGCGUCGAUUCCAGCAAAUUAAAUUACACCUGCAAACAAUGAACAGCAAUGAAAUUAAAAAAUAAUCUAAGGAUAAAAAAGAAUUAAAUAAGUUAAAAACAUGAUCCAUUAAUGUAAUUUCUUCUUUCUUCCUCUCAUCAGGACAUCACUAGUACACAUUAUUAAUUAUAGUUCUAAAAUACUAAGUCCAUGCCAUAACAUGGGGGUGAUACCAAAAUGCAACUAAAACAAUUAUCGAGUCCAAUUAAAUUUAAUGCACUCAAGGUCAAAUUUAGAAUUGUUACCAGUGGUGAUACAUCGCUAAUAACAUUAAGAGCAAUGCAUAAACAAACAUCCACAACAGGUGCACAAUAAGCACUAAAGCAUUAAAGGUGAAAAAGUUGUAAAAAAAAAUAAAUUUUGAACGUAUUUGAUAAGAAAAAAAAGUUAAAGAAAAGAAAAUGAGAAAGAGAUGUCAACUAACUUAAAAUUAUGCAAAUUUUUAAAUAUUAUAUUUUUUAAUUUUUCAACUUUAUCAAAAAAAAAGAUAGAAAUAAAAAUUUAUAUUUUUUUAUUUAUUUUAUAUUUCUAUCCUUUUCAAUUAUUCAUUUUUCUGAUUUUUUUCCAAGUGAAAUUUACUACAUGUAUGCUUUGAUUUAGUACGAAUCAUAUUAAAAUAUAUAGAUAAAAUUUUAAAUAUAUAUUAUAACAUAUAGAAAUUAUUUGUACCAAUUAUAAAACACUACAUACCAAUUGAAAUCGGUUUGUCCAACACGACAACAACUACCAUUAAAUUAGAUUAACAUUGAAUCGCUCGUAAGCAUUAAAAAAACUGGAAAUAAGUAGUUAAAUCAAUUAAAAACCACCUAAAAGGGUUUUAUAUAAUGUUUUGGGUUAUUAUAUUAUUUUUUAUUUGUUUGGCCCAAUUUUAUGUUUAUUUGUAGCCCAAAUACACUGAUUUUUGCCAAAUACAACGAACUUUCUUGAGCUUCUGUCAACUCAAGCUGUUGAGCAAAGAUCUAACGACCCUGGCACAACAGGUGCACAAUAAGCACUAAAGCAUUAAACUCCUAUGGCACUAGGAGAACAUCAAGAUUAGGCAAGCACAAAAACAGCAAACAUCAUACUUAGAAAUAAAAACAGAAAGAUUAAAUUCCAAAGAAUUGCAGCAUAUUUUAACCUACUAACAAAUAUAAGUUGCCUUCCUUGCACACAAAUUUUCAUCAUACUUUUACAUCAUCCAAGACUUUGAAUAACUUAGAAGGUCAGAAUAAGUUCAUAUCACAGAUUAUACCAUCAGAAGGUAAAAACUGGAAAGUGUGAACUCAUUUAUAUCAGCAGCAAAUACUAAACUCAGCUGGUUACAAUUUGAGAUUAAGGCUUUUUGAACAUGCUUACCAUAAUUGCAAAUGAUACUGCUUCAAAAUCAAACAGAAAAUUGCAUAGAAAUUUUCAUGCUUUAUGCUAAUGCAAGCUUCAAAGACCAUAUAAGUAAAAAUAUAUCAAUAUAUCACAUAGAUUCAUUUCAGAAUAAAGUUGAUGGGAAUGUACAAGGCAGAAACCAAAUUGCCAAGAUUAGUAAAAAUCUUUAUUCAAUUUCUCUGUAUUCUACUAUGUCCAUCUCGAUACAACAACAAAUCAUAUAUAUAUUAAGUCAUUUAAGUAGCAAAACAAAAACGAGAACAUAUACGAAAGAUGAACAAAAAAGCAAGUCUUUAUGGUACACAAGAAGAAAUAAUCCAAAAAAGCGUACCCUUUAUCUUUCCCUUCUUCCCCUUCUUCCCCUUUCUCUUUUAUUCAGUAUCCGAAAGUAAAUAUGAUGAUGAAGUAGCAGGUGAAGCUGCUGCAGAAGAUUGUGAAUUCCUCCACCAGUAAUUUCUCUAACCCAGGUUUCAAUUCCCUGUUACUAAAAUCGAAAAGCAUCGAACCAAUAAAAUGAGAACCGAGAAGAAGAUGGGUGAAAUAGCUGAGUGAGGGUUUCGGCUUACCGAUUAGUUGCAGCAGAGGAGUGCGACAGUGACGCAACAGAUGGUCGAGUCGACGGCGAUGCAAUAGAUGGUCGGGUCCGGCGAUGGAGAGUUGGGUUGGGUUUGGAUUUGCUGAAAAUUUAGGGUUAGUGGAAAAAUUUUAGGGGAAAACACUUAAGCUUUUCGGGUAUGCUUUGGGGAUAAAAGGGUGGAAAAAAACGAUGUCGUUUAUGUGAAUUUAGGGGAAAACUAAUUUGGUGUUUUGGGGGAAAAGCAUAAGGCUGCCAGGCAUGAAAGAAAUGAAAUUUAACAAAUUAAAACGACGCCAUUUCGGCAAAAAAAUUUUGACCGUUUGCGGCGCUUUAGAAACGCGCCCGCUGCGCUUUAGAAACAUGCCGCUAAAAGCUAUCUAUUGCGGCGUUUCUAAAAAAGCGCCGCUAAUCUCCAACAAAAACGACGCCGUUUUCUUUAAGCACUAAUGUUCUUUAAGCGCUAAUUCCCUAUAUAUUCAACUAAAACGACGUUGUUUCCAUAAACUUUAAUUCUUUUUGCGGCGUUUUUUUAUAAAUGCCACUAAUCCCCUAUCCAACUAAAAUGACGCCGUUCUGUUAAACUAUAAACUUUUUCUUUAAACUAUACUGUUUUUUGCGGCGUUUUUUUGAAAAACGUCACUAAUCUCUUAAUUUUUAUAUUUUAUUUUUAUUUGUUAUAAUUUGGUAGCCAAAAUAAUUAACUUAUGAUAGUCAAUAUUUAAUAAUAUAUCUAUAUUGCAUGAUAACUUUGAAAUUUUAAGUUUAAAUUUCACUUAUAUAAAUUAAGUGUAGAGGAAUUAAUUUGAAUUGAAUUCUUCAUUCAAUUAAUUCUUUAGAUUAAUGAUUUUAAUUAUUAAUACUAAUGAUGAUAAAUGUUAAUAUGAUGAUAAUUAGUUAUAAUUUAAUCCUAAUAUUAUGAAUUAAAGUUUAAAAGAUUUAUCUCUUGCUGAUAUAUGGUACAUACUAAUCUUCUUCUUCUUUUUACAUUUUACGGAAGUAGAUAAUUUUUAGUUUUUAUCUUUUAAAUAUGCUUAAUAUUUAAUCCAUAUAUUUUAGUUUCUAAUAUAAUUUGGGUUCUAUAUGUUUAUAAUGUUAUUAAGUAGAUAUAGAUACCUAUCCAUAUCAAAUUUUGUUACUUUUUUUAUUUAUUUAUCAAUGUUUUUUUUUUUAAAUUCUAAUAAUUAUCAAAAUUUCAAAUGGUCUAGAUUAAAUAUUUUUAAUUAUAUAAAAGAAUUAAUUGAUUGUAUAAAAUUUCAUCAUUUAACAAAUUUCACGUAAACCUUAAAUCCUAAACCAUUUAAUAUAUAUAAAGUUUAUCUAUUAUCUCUGAAAUAAUCUAAACUAUAAUCAUAUAUAAUUUUAAUAUAUUAAGAUUAAUAUUAUCUCUUUUACAAUUAUAUAAGAAAUCGUUUAAUAUAUAAAUUAAAAAAUGAUAAUUAAUCAAAACCCUAAACCUCUAACCCCUGAUUGGUCUUUAAACCUUAAACCUAAACUCAAAACCCUAAAUCACAAUACAUAUACCUUAAACUCUAACCCUUAAACUAUAAACUCUUAACCCUUAACCAUUAACCCUUAACCCCUAAUCCUUAUCCCUUAACCCAUAAUUCUUAACUCCUAACCCCUAAAUUUUAAACUCCAUCUAUUAAACCCUAAAGUACCCUAAACUACAUAAUUCAUAACCCUUAAAAUAGUAACUCCUAAACCUUAAACACUAAACCAUAUACCCCAAAUCAUAAACACUAAACUAUAAUGAUAAUUAAUUCAAUAUUUUAAAAUUAAUAUUAUCUCUUUUAAAAUUAUAUAAGAAAAUAUUUAAUAUAUAAAUAAAAAAACAAUUAGUCAUAUACCAAUAAACUUUAAAUUAAUAGUAUUUUAAUAAAUAAUUUCCUAUGUUUUUACUUUUAAAAUUAUUCUACGUGUCAUUAUUUUUUUUAAGAAUUUAAAUAUUCAAUUAAAAAUAGAUUAUACUUUUAGCAGCGCUUCUUAAAAAAGGCGCUAAUGCUGACUUAUAGAGGCGUUUUUCAAAAAAACGCCGCAAAAGAUCGAUCUAUAGCGGCAUUUUGCAAGAAGGCGCCGCUAAAGCAACUAAAGCUAAAAAAACGACGCUGUUGUGUUUAGUUUUUUUGCGGCGUUUUUAAGAAGCGCCGCUAAAGCCACUAAACCUCAACAAAAAACGACGACGUUGUGUUCAUUGUUUUGCGGCGUUUUCUUUAAAGCACCGCUAACGGUCAACCUAUAGCGGCGUUUUUAGAAAAAAACGCCGCUAAUGCUCAUUUUUUAGUGGGUUUUUGUAGAAACGCCGCUAAAAACCUGUUUUGCUGUAGUGAAGGAUUAAGGAGGUUUUUGUUUAAAAUAGACAACCCCUUUACAUCCAAGAUAACCCUAAAAAAUCAAGCUUUUGUCCUUAAGUUGAUUUUAUCUACAAAAAUAGAAAAAUUAAAAAAAAACCUUAGAUCUCAAUUUUGAAAACAUCUGCCUUUUGAAGAAAAUCCUUUAAUCUAAGAUUGCUUUCAAACCGCUGUCAAUUAUUGAAAACAAAAAACAAACCUAAAAAUAAAAAAAGCUAAAUAAAAAAAACAAAUGAUUAACAGAAAGAGAUUCAGGUAAGUGGGGAUUAACAGAGAAAAGAAUCAAAGACUCAUAUUUUUUAGUUUUCAAGUUCUUAAACAGUUUAAGAAAAAAAAACUCAAAAACUCAAAUCAAACUUAAGUAUCAAAGAUCCAUACUGUUCAGUUUCCAAGAUGCUUGAAUCCUCCCCUAUGACAAUUGAUGCUUAUCUAGAGACGACUUCAAGCGUUUUGAGCUUUAUUUCCCCUCAACUCGAAAAAAAGAUGAAAAGUGAAAGUUUGGAAGAAAAUGGUGAAAGAAUAACAUCCCCUGGUUUUUGUUAAAUAUAAGCUUGUAAAUUUGUGAUUUUUUUUAUGGGUACACUGGGAAGAAAAAAAAUUUUAAGCUAUUCUUUGUAUUUGUUGAAUAGUCAUUCCAUAGGUUAAGUGCUGAAUGACCAUUCAGCGUUUUUAAGGAAUACUGUUGGAAUGAAGAUUAGUAUUUUGUAAACCAAACAAUAGAAUAGCUACCUUACUCGAAAUAGUCUCUGAAUAAAAUCACAAUUCCAUCCAAGCAAACAUAGUGUUAGUGUUUACUACUUAAUUCUCAGGGGAUUUACAGGUGAGUCUUCUAGUUUUUAGAUACAAAAUUGAUAUUCCAUACUUGGGGAGUAGUAGAGUGCGAUUCGCUUAUUGUAUUCUUUGUGUUUUUGUUUGCACAGUUUUUCACAGUGCCAAACCGUAAUGACCAAUUCCAUCAAGCACUUCCAUUAACUAUUGUAUUAUUCAGUAAGCAAUUAUACGUAGCAAUACCUUACAUAUAUUUGUUGAAAUAUAGAUUUUCAGGUCAACAAUUUCAUAACAAGGUUAACAAUGUUAUCUAAUUGGAUCAAUUUCUCGAUAUUCAUAAAAUACAAAGACGCUAAUUAUGAGUUGGGCGCUUUAACCAUUUAGCCAUAGAUGUUUAGCGGGGAUCCUCGUAUAUAGUGAAUAACCAAAUUCCAAUUAAAAUGAAAUCUUUAGGAUAAAUCAAUGCAAUUUAGGAGGAAUCAAUAAAAGGACAUCAAUUCAAAUCCUAGAUUUUCAAAUUGAGAGAGAUAAUAAAUUAAAGUAGAGAGAUUAAUUUUUCUUUGCUUUUAGCUUUAGUAUGGAAGAUUCAAAAUUAAAUAAUCAAAAGAAAUUUAAGUUUUGUAGACAAUUAUUAAAUAUGAGUUAUUGAGUUGAUUUCAUUAAGAACAAUAUGUAAACAUAAAAUAAAAUUUUAAAUUUUAAAAGGAGAUUAAUUUAAUUAAUUUUAAUAAUAUAGUAACAAAUCGAUUAAUAUUAUCAAGGGAUACAAAUUUUUCAACAAUUAAAUUUAAUUGAUUUUUAUGUUUUGAAAUUUAAAUUUCAAUAUUAAAAAAGAAGAAAUUUAGAAUUUUCGGCAAUGUGAUAAACAAGUACAAUUAGACACGUUUUCAAUACAUUUUUUAGUUUCUACUAUUUUUUCAGUUUAAUCCUUAAUCUUUUUACCCCAAUCAAUACCUUAAAAUAUGAUUUUUUUUUCUGUGACCAAAAUGAAAGCGACCUAAAAGUUGGGUGACCAAAAUAAAAUUGAGAACAUGAUAUAGCAUGUACAGUUAGCGCCAUUAGAGAUUUAACGGUUAGGUAACUAAAAUGAAAAUGCCUUAAAAGUUGAAUGACGAAAUUACAAAGAUUUCAUUUUCAAUAACCAAAAUAAAAACGCCUUAAAAAUUGAAUGACCAACUAAAUAGUUUACCCUAUAAUUUAAUGCAAAGUGAUUUCUAGUUUUAAGUGUACCUAAAUUUUAAUUAAAUCAUGUUUUGUGCUUAGUAAAUAUUUGAAGAUAAUAACUUGGAAUUCGAAUACCUAAAAUAUAAAACUCUUUAAACUAAAUAAAACCAAAUAAGGUAUCGUGUAUUAAGAAGCAUUAAUAUAAUGUUUUAACCGGCCUUGCAAUUGGAUGUAAUUUUUCAAAAUUUGAUUCUUCUACUUAACAAAAAUUAAAAAUUUAUUAGUAAACACAUAAUUUUUUUAUAUAUAAAUUAUUGAAUUGUUAUUAAAAAAAAUGUUGAAUUAUUGAUUUUUGUACAUUUGUUAUAUUGAGGCAAAGUGUGUUGCAAUGAGUUGAGUGGCACUCAACAAUAUCCGUUGCAAUCUACCACUCACAUGGGUAAGUUACUUUUCGUAUUUGAGUUGGCAAUUUAAUGAAGUAAAAUCUUUAAACAAGUUAUUUUGUUGAUAUUUUUAAGAUGCUAUAGUCCAUCUAUGGAAACCAAUCCGUGACAGUUAAAUAUUGGAUUGGAUUGGAUUGAAUUCGAGUGAAUCAAGACAACCCUUGUCUCAUGGAGAAUUGAUUGAGAUUGUGAUGUUGGUUUUGGAAGCUCAUAUAUUCAUCAGAUUAUGCUUUUAUUGAGUAUGUUGUAAUAGUUAUUUUCAAUGAGUUUAUUUGCAUUCAUUCAAUUAGUAUGUUAGCAAGUUGAGAUUGAUAUAUGUUGAGAGGCUUGUCUAGGUCAUGUAUGUGAAAAGAUUGAGAACACUAAAUUUGUUCAUUGAGGAAUUGUUUUGUGGGAGAGCGCAAAUUGAAUUGUAAACUUUUAGUGUUUAUUGCUUAAAUUAAAUUCUCAGUGUGAGCAUUUUAAGUUGAGAUCUCUAUACAUUAGGAGUAAUAGAGUGUGAUUCACUUGUAUUGUGGAAUAAGUAUAAUGGAAUAAUUCACUAAGUUAAACUCUACAGACGUAAGGACUGCAUAAAGAAACCUUGAUAUUCUUUGUGUUUUUGUUUGCAUAAUUUUUCGCAGUGUCAAGUCAUAAUAACUAAUUCCAUCAACUAUUGUGUUAUUAAAUAAACAAUUGUAGGUAACACAACACCUUACAUAUAUUUGUUGAAAUAUAGAUUUUCAGGUAAACAAUUUCAUAAUAAGGUUAAUAAUAGUAUCUAAUUAGAUCAAUUUCUGGAUCUUCAUAAAACAGAAAGACGGAUAAAUUAGAGUAGAGAGAUUUUUAUUUUUUUUUUAAAUUAUGAUCACACCUUUAUGAUAUUAAAUUAUAUAUAAUAUUGGUGAUUUCUUGAAUAUUAAGUAAUGGUGGUCUUCAUGUGUCCAUUUAGUGAUAGAGAGCUUAGUUUCCCUUCAUCUUGAUCUGGAAAAUAUAAAAUUGGAGAAAAUAUGGAACAAAUCUUCCUUUAAACUAAUAAGAAAAGGGUGAGAGAAUCUCGAUAACAAUAUGUAAUCAUCUAUUUCUCGUGCUUUAAUGAUACUUGAUCACAGUAACUACAUAGCUAGCUGUAUUUUAAAUGUUUUAUUAAGAUCUCAAAUCUUUGACUUUUCCUUUUCUUUUCUUUUGUUUUAUUAUUAUAAGAAUCGUGAUUGGCUUCUAAACUUUAAAUGUUCCAAUUAUAUUUUAACAUUAAAUAUCAGGCUAGAUCUAAGAUGUGAUUAAUUCAUACAUGAUUAAAAGAUGUACCAACCCAAAUCCAAGUUGGCAAGUCAGGUAAAGAUGACAGUUGAACCUAAUUAGAACGAUGCUCUAGUCUGAUAUUCAAUUGGACUUAAUGAUCUAAAAUUUGGGGUCAAUUUAAAUUUUGACUCAUAGUUUGAGGACAAAAUAGUUGAAUUAACCCUAUAAAUAAUUUCAAGCACUAAAAUAUAUGGCUUAAAUACUUGGUGCUUCCUUUAAAGCUAGGUUUCCACCAUUGUUGUAAGGCACACCAAGGAAGAAAGAGAGAAAAUAUGGCACCCAUUUCAUUACCCAACAAGCCCCAUGCAGUAUGCAUCCCCUACCCAGCACAAGGUCACGUAAAUCCGAUGCUCAAAGUGGCCAAACUCCUCCAUUUCAAAGGCUUCCACAUCACUUUUGUCAACACCGAGUACAACCACAAACGCUUGCUCAAAUCCAG